Molecule: ribosomal RNA, 505 nt
Filed under: uncultured bacterium
Lineage: Bacteria
Description: partial 16S ribosomal RNA
Rfam family: Bacterial small subunit ribosomal RNA
Source: RNAcentral
GACGAACGCUGGCGGCGUGCCUAAUACAUGCAAGUAGAACGCACAGUUUAUACCGUAGCUUGCUACACCAUAGACUGUGAGUUGCGAACGGGUGAGUAACGCGUAGGUAACCUGCCUGGUAUCGGGGGAUAACUAUUGGAAACGAUAGCUAAUACCGCAUAAUAUUGAUUAUUGCAUGAUAAUUAAUUGAAAUGUUCAAUUUCACCACUACCAGAUGGACCUUCGUUGUAUUAGCUAGUAGGUGAGGUAACGGCUCACCUAGGCGACGAUACAUAGCCGACCUGCGAGGGUGAUCGGCCAAACUGGGACUGAGAAACGGCCCAGACUCCUACGGGAGGCAGCAGUAGGGAAUCUUCGGCAAUGGACGAAAGUCUGACCGAGCAACGCCGCGUGAGUGAAGAAGGUUUUCGGAUCGUAAAGCUCUGUUGUAAGAGAAGAACGGGUGUGAGAGUGGAAAGUUCACACUGUGACGGUAUCUUACCAGAAAGGGACGGCUAACUACGUG